Molecule: ribosomal RNA, 333 nt
Filed under: Triticum aestivum (bread wheat)
Lineage: Eukaryota; Viridiplantae; Streptophyta; Magnoliopsida; Poales; Poaceae
Description: partial small subunit ribosomal RNA
Source: RNAcentral
AUGGAUCAACCGUCCGCGAGAGGGGAAGGGGAGAGAGGUGGUGAGAACUGGAGAAGUGAGAGGAAGGGUUCCAAGGCCCACGAGAGACGGAGAGAGUUAACCAAAGCCCAGAUGUUUCUUCUAGGCCCAACGAAACUGAAAAGAAGCCCACAGGAAAAGUCUGCUUCCGCUCCGAUCGGAUGCCGCGCCGUAGGGGAAAACAACCCCCGCCGCGCCGCCGCAUGCCGUCCGUGUGGCCGCUCCGCCGCCCGAAAAACCGCCGCGCCGCGCCGUCGUACAAGCCUCCACCCGUUCUACACGCCGCGUCGCGGGAGCCGGAGAACCUCAGCAUGA